RNAcentral lists this ribosomal RNA (412 nucleotides) under Lophium arboricola. RNAcentral's name for it is "eukaryotic LSU rRNA". It matches the Rfam family "Eukaryotic large subunit ribosomal RNA", at positions 1 to 407 of the family's 3401-position model. The record is from RNAcentral. Lineage: Eukaryota; Fungi; Ascomycota; Dothideomycetes; Mytilinidiales; Mytilinidiaceae.
UUUGACCUCGGAUCAGGCAGGGAUACCCGCUGAACUUAAGCAUAUCAAUAAGCGGAGGAAAAGAAACCAACAGGGAUUGCCUUAGUAACGGCGAGUGAAGCGGCAAUAGCUCAAAUUUGAAAUCUGGCGUCUUUGGACGUCCGAGUUGUAAUUUGUAGAGGAUGUUUCGGUAUUAGCUCCGGUCUAAGUCCCUUGGAACAGGGUGUCGCAGAGGGUGAGAAUCCCGUACGCGACCGGCUGCUUUUGCCAUGUGAAACUCCUUCGACGAGUCGAGUUGUUUGGGAAUGCAGCUCUAAUUGGGAGGUAAAUUUCUUCUAAAGCUAAAUACUGGCCAGAGACCGAUAGCGCACAAGUAGAGUGAUCGAAAGAUGAAAAGCACUUUGGAAAGAGAGUUAAAAAGUACGUGAAAUUG